Molecule: long non-coding RNA, 1784 nt
Organism: Cyprinus carpio (common carp)
Lineage: Eukaryota; Metazoa; Chordata; Actinopteri; Cypriniformes; Cyprinidae
Source: Ensembl
UUGUUCUGAGCUGUGUUUGUUAACACUAGUUAAAGUGGUCCAGUACAGAGAGAAUCCAGAGUUGGUGACUUUACUGUUGGAGGUUCUUGGCUUCUCCCUCAGUCUGGAAGGACAUUUACCCAGUAAAACCUGCAGGUCUGUGGGGAGAUUCUUACGUUUCUCUUCUGACAGACUCAACCUCACUCUAAAACCUAAAGCCGUCUCUCUAAGAGGAACAAGGCUUCUUUUCAGACACAUCAAAAACAUACACACACUNGCAGUUUUUGACUUUAUAUUUAUCAUGGCAUAGAAAUAAAACAAAAAUUCUGUAUGUGUAGACUAUCUAAAGAAACUCUCCGGAAGCUGGUUGAAUUUGUCUGUGAAGCUCAGGAAGAGGAACUGACUCAGUGCUUCCUGCAGAAAGUGGGUGGAGAUCUGACUUCCUGUUCCUUGAGCUGGGAAGAGCUUCACUAUUUCCUGCAGCACAAGAUUCCACACAUCACUGUGGACCUCAGAAAGAGCAACAUUGGAUGUAAUGUCAGAAAAAUGUUGCCAUUUUUUAACAGGAUUCAAUUUAAACGGAUCAGCUCUACCUUCAUGCUGUCUGUAAUCAGAGAGAUCUAUGAGUCCGGCUCUGUUGGUUUUGUGUCCAGUCUGUUGAGUUCAGUUGAGAACUACAUUAACCUGCAGAGCAGAGAGCUGGACUCUGUUCACUGUGCGGCCCUGCGCUUCACACUGCAGCACUGCACUGCAGUUUCACUCAAUCUACAGUGGACCUCCAUACCAGAGGAAGAGCUGGAGAGCAUUCUGCCUCUCUUCACACAUGUGUCCCACCUCAGUGUUGACAGGCUGCUAUUACGGAAGAUGAUGCACUGCUGCAGUGUCUCUGACAUCCAGCAAGAGACAGCAGCAGUUCUGCUCUCCAUCCUGCAGCACAAGUUGGACUUCUCCUGCUGUUCUGCUCUGGAUCUGACAGCAAACACAGACUCAGAGCCUCUACAUCUGACCAUUGAGGACUGCUGUGUGAUGUCCAGAGUCAUUCAGAGUGCUCAUUCAGACACAAAGACACAACUGAUUCUGCAGGACUGUGAGAUUAAUACAGCUGGAAUUGAUCAGCUGUUCCCAGUGUUACAUUCUGUUAAACUAUGCUGUGCUAAAUCUCUACUGCUUCAGUUUCUGGCUCAUGUGAGGCCUGAGGAAGCUAAGUCUCUUUCUCAAGCGCUGGGUGAAGAGCUUAACCUCAGUCAGACUCAGCUGAAUCCGCAGGUCUGUAGAGGUCUGAAGCUGAUUCUGGAAUAUUCUGAANCAAAUUAAGAAAUUCUUUAAUGGGAUUAAAUAACCCAGAAUUAUUCAAAGGAAUCAGAAUAAUUAAAUUCUUUAAUAUUCUCAUCCAUACUUAUAAAGGCUCACUAUUACCUUAGUAGCCUUUAGCAAAACAGCUAAGCUAUUAUUUAAUUGAAUCUCAGAUGGUAUUGAUAUGUCCAGAAUAUGUUCUGAUCUAGUGUUUGUCUGUGUUCAGUGUUGACAGGCUGCUGUUAAUGAAGAUGUUGCACUGCUGCAGUGUCUCUGAUGUCCAGCAGGAGACAGCAGCAGUUCUGCUCUCUGUCCUGCAGCACAAAUUGGACUUCUCCUGCUGUUCUGCUCUGGAUCUGACAGCAAACACAGACUCAGAGCCUCUACAUCUAACCGCUGAGGACUGCCGUGUGAUGUCCAGAGUCAUCCAGAGCGCUCAUUCAGACACAAAGACACAACUGAUUCUGCAGGACUGUGAGAUUAAUAAAGCUGGAAUGGAUCAGCUGUUCCCA